GUCACUUUCUAAAUACAUUACUUAUCCUGUACUGAUCCAAUGAUGCCUGUUAUACACUGUAUUAUACUCCAGAGCUGCACUCACUAUUCUGCUGGUGGAGUCAGUGCAUACACAUUACUUAUCUAGUAAUGAUCCUGAGUUACAUCCUGUAUUAUACUCCAGAGCUGCACUCACUAUUCUGCUGGUGGAGUCACUGUAUACAUACAUUACAUUACUUAUCCUGCACAGAUCCUGAGA
Molecule: long non-coding RNA, 237 nt
Organism: Bufo bufo (common toad)
Lineage: Eukaryota; Metazoa; Chordata; Amphibia; Anura; Bufonidae
Exons: 3
Source: RefSeq, a predicted model, not a curated record